Non-coding RNA from Coniochaeta pulveracea, 72 nucleotides. Lineage: Eukaryota; Fungi; Ascomycota; Sordariomycetes; Coniochaetales; Coniochaetaceae. The record is from the annotation of a GenBank genome assembly.
GGUCUACUGGCCCAAUGGCAAGGCGUCUGACUACGAAUCAGGAGAUUGCAGGUUCGACCCCUGCGUAGAUCA